Molecule: long non-coding RNA, 2612 nt
Filed under: Erythranthe guttata (spotted monkey flower)
Lineage: Eukaryota; Viridiplantae; Streptophyta; Magnoliopsida; Lamiales; Phrymaceae
Description: long non-coding RNA (EGUT_LNC001220)
Source: RNAcentral
UGGCGUCCCUAUAGUGACGGGGAUUUUAACUUGUCCAACCGGCGUCAGGGAUCCUCCCGUGAACCCGAAUAUCGGAGUAGUGACAGGGAAGAUUGGGAGGUCAAGCUCCAUUUGCAGGAAACAUUCGUAGGAUAUAACAUCCACCGAACUUCCUGGAUCAACGAAGGCGCGAGCGACAUCGUACCCCCCAACGUUAAUCGUGAUGAGGAGAGGGUCACAAUGGAAAUCCUCUAGGUCCGCUUCAUCUUCCGGACCAAACGAGAUAGUGGGAUAUUGACGAUACUUCGGUGUCGAGAUUUGGCAAACCUCAUGAUUAUUUUUGAGGCUACCGAGGUGGCGUCUCCUAGCCCGGUGAGUAUCUCCUCCCGUAGGACCCCCCGAAAUCAUCUGAAUGUACCCUCUUUUCGGUGCUGGUGGUGGUGGCGGUGCUCGUGGCGGGUUCCCAAACUGGGCUUCACGCUUUUGUCCCCGAGGUGAAUCUAUCUUCACAAAAUCCCCGAUUUUGUUAUCUCUAAUGAGACGUUCCACUUCGUCCUUCAGAUGUGCGCAAUCGUCGGUCGUAUGUCCAUAUUCAUUAUGAAAACGGCAAAAAGUACCCAACGUUGGAUCUCGACGGGGGGCUCCGCGAGCAGUUCGAGGCCAUCGUAGAUCAGCCCUCUUCUCAAUCGCGCACAACACCUGGGACAGAGGAGCCGUAAGGGGCUGAUAUGAUUGAAAACGAGAUCCCUUAGCAUCCGGGACAAUACUCCGACUAGGGGCAUUGGCAUCCCUGCGAGGUAACAUGAGCUCCCUGCCUUUCUUUACUUCGCUGACUCGUGCAUUUGCGACUUGGUGAGAUUCUUCCAUUUUCUGUUGGCGGGCCUCUUCUAAAUUGAUGAACCUAGAUGCCCUUUCUAAUAGGUUAUCGAAAUCAGGGGACGGCUCCAGCGCCAAAGCUCGGAAAAACUCAUCAUCUCUCAGUCCUUGAGAAAGAGCUGCCAUGAGUACCUCAUCACUGGUGGUCGGGACUUCCAGGGUGGCCGAGGUGAACCGUUUGAUGUAACUCCUGAGGCUUUCUUUCUCCUUUUGGCGAAUGCUAAAUAGUGACAGGGAGGUUUUUUUGCACUUCUUUGAGCUGGCGAACUGGUUCAUGAAAGCCUUGGCAAAUUGCUCGAAAGAUUGUACGCUCCCGGAAGGCAGCAAACCGAACCAGGCCUGAGCAGAUCCGGCUAGAGUGGUAGCGAAGGCACGACAUCUCACCCCUUCUGUGAGCUGAUGAAGCGAUGCUGUAUUGUUGAAACGGCUUAGGUGCUCGGCGGGAUCCGAUGUGCCAUUGUACUCGAACGAAAUGGGUCGGUAGCUAGCUGGUAUGGGGUCAUCAUCAAGGUGUUUUGCGAAAGGGCUAGAUCCCACGAGAUCUCGCGCUGGCCUGUUCCGUAAGGCCUUUAAUUCAUCCAUAUCGCGUCUCAGGCUGUCUACCUCGGUCCUGACUCUAUGACUAUCGCCUCUUCGAUUUUCCGAAUAACUGUCGCCUUCGUCAUCAGCUCGUCCCUCGUUCGGGGAAUGUCUGGGAUCCCUCCUGAGUCGGUUAUCGUGAGGUAAACUUUGGGUGUAGUUUCUGAUGGCCGCGGUGAUCAUGGUUUCCACCUCGUCUCGGGUAUACGUGCGCUCAUUGGGAGCCUGAGCGGGGGUUGUGGCUGGCCUUCUCGAAGCAGCUUCGCCAUCCUGGAACUCGAAAGAGGGGCUGCUUGGAGCGAAGGGGAUCCGGCCCUCCUUUUCAGGUGUAAGGAAGCUACACCCCGAUUUAUCUUUCUGAACGGAUGAUGGGUCAACCGGUGCACCACGGGCUACCGCAUCCAAAUCCUUCUGCAGAUUCCGGGCGACUGCAUCUUCUCCGUCCAUUCUUUCUCCACGUUCUCAGCUCAGAUCCGGACUUCCGGGGGUAGAUCUGAUUUUUCCCGGAAGCUGUUUUCCCAAAACUUCAGGACUUUCCCACAGACGGCGCCACUUGAUUUAGUCCGUAGGUCUUCGUCUUCCUCAAGCCAGCUCCGCUCGUACUCCGGGUGAAUAAACCUGCAACGCCGGGAGGGGUUCCCGGCGGGAAAGCUCCGACGAUCAAGUCAGUGAUCGGAAAUAGAAAAAUGUAUAUGCAAUGUAAUAGUGAUUAGUGUAAAAAUCUCAUCCCUUUGUGUGUGUGUUGAUUCUCUUAUUUAUAGAUGAGGAAAGCUUGGCCUCCAAGGCUUUCCUUUUUUAGGGUUUCUCUUUUCCCCCAAGUCAUGUAUCUUGGGCCUGUAUUGUCCUGGGCUCGCCUUACCUCGUUUUGAUAUUGGGCUAGCGAGUUAAGGUACUCCCAAGUAGUUCCGGGGUUCGCACCAUACGACGACUUCGCUCGCGGUACCGAGCUAAGACAUCAUGGGUUCUUCAUUAUGGGCCUAUCGUAUUGGGCUUACUCUAAUGGGCUUAUGUUUAUUUAUUAAUAGUGACAGGGAAGAUUGGGAGGUCAAGCUCCAUUUGCAGGAAACAUUCGUAGGAUAUAACAUCCACCGAACUUCCUGGAUCAACGAAGGCGCGAGCGACAUCGUACCCCCCAACGUUAAUCGUGAUGAGGAGAGGGUCACAAUGGAAAUCCUCUA